GUAGGUUUUUGAUCGCUAUUUUUAAAAUAGAGGAAAGUCCAUACUUGCACAAACUGUCAAAUGUUUGUAGUGUUUUUGCUUAGAUUCAGUUCUAAGAAUAGGUUUUAUAGUUACCUAUAUGACAGUAUAAAAUUCUAAGUAGUUUACUAUAUGAAUGAUAUACGCAAAGUGCCACAGUGACGAAUCAAUAAGAAAUUAUUGAGUGAAACGAGGUAAACUCCAAAAGCAAGAAACCCAAAUUAUGGUAGGGGAAUCAAUUAAUUCGAAAGAUGCAAUUGAACUAAGUAUUUAUUUACUUGGUAGAUAAAUGAUCAUUGAUACAGAAUAUGGCUUAUGACU
RNAcentral lists this RNase P RNA (339 nucleotides) under Mycoplasmataceae bacterium. RNAcentral describes it as "RNase P RNA component class B". It matches the Rfam family "Bacterial RNase P class B". Rfam says of the family: Ribonuclease P (RNase P) is a ubiquitous endoribonuclease, found in archaea, bacteria and eukarya as well as chloroplasts and mitochondria. Its best characterised activity is the generation of mature 5'-ends of tRNAs by cleaving the 5'-leader elements of precursor-tRNAs. Lineage: Bacteria; Bacillati; Mycoplasmatota; Mollicutes; Mycoplasmatales; Mycoplasmataceae. The record is from RNAcentral.